UUCACUUGGCUGUUGGAGGUCGGCUCCCGGGCGUCUGCAGCCUCCUGUGGCACUGAGGCUGCGGCCCGGCGCCACGUGCCCGGGCGGGGAAGGGCUGUCCCAGGCUUCGCGGGGUUCGCGCUCUGCGAGCUGGGAGAGACGCCGCAGGAGCUUCUCCCACCGUCACGUGGAGAUCCUCCACCAGGAUCUCCCAGCAGCACCGAUCUAACGUCCUUGGGGCUAACGGGGUUGUGUAAGUCAUCAACAAAGGUCUAUCCUCCAAGUAAAGCCCCGUGGCUCCUCUAUUAGCAGCUCCGCGUUGAACCAAAAUCGAUGCGCUGCACGCACCCUUUUCACCCGUGCACCGCGGUAGAGAGUGGUGGGAAUCCUCCAAAACCAAGGUUGGAGAAGAUUGAAGAAACAAUGGAGUUUUAAGUCUUGGUUACUAUAAAAACAAAGAUGGAGAUAACCUGGCCACAAGAUAAAAUAAAAUACAUCUUAUAAAAAAAAAAAAGAAGAAGAAGAAGAAGAAGAAGAACACAGCCUGAGGAUCUGUUUGUCAAUCGACUAGAGUCUUUUUUCUAACCUCCAUCUGCAGCUACCCCUGAUUAGAACCUAUUAAGCCACUGAGGCCUAACCCCCCCCACAACUGGUGAAACAGCCCGGAUCAUCUAAAGACGAGUGGAAUGUCUGUUACUUAGGAAAGCCCUUUACCUGGAUGUGCCAAAUUGCUGAAACAAGACAUUGUAAUAAAAUAAAAGGGGAGGGGGUGGCUUUACCAACAGGCCCUUCUGCAACAGGACCCCUCCCAAAAAAAGCGACAGAAGUAGACUCAGUGUCAGCUCCCCGCUGGCUCCCUGGGAAGCCUACAAUCCUAUCCCAAACCUCAU
Lepus europaeus (European hare) is the source of this 869-nucleotide long non-coding RNA. RefSeq lists it as uncharacterized. Lineage: Eukaryota; Metazoa; Chordata; Mammalia; Lagomorpha; Leporidae. The transcript is spliced from 3 exons. The record is from RefSeq and is a predicted model, not a curated record.